This 72-nucleotide transfer RNA is filed under the name Camelus bactrianus (Bactrian camel). It matches the Rfam family "tRNA". From Rfam's summary of the family: Transfer RNA (tRNA) molecules are approximately 80 nucleotides in length. Their secondary structure includes four short double-helical elements and three loops (D, anti-codon, and T loops). RNAcentral also lists the same sequence under 2 other names. The record is from Rfam by way of RNAcentral. Lineage: Eukaryota; Metazoa; Chordata; Mammalia; Artiodactyla; Camelidae.
GAGGGUAGACCUCAGCAGUAGAGUGUAUGCUUAGCAUGCAUGAGGUCCUGGGUUCAAUUUCCAGUACCUCCA